This 261-nucleotide ribosomal RNA is filed under the name uncultured archaeon. RNAcentral describes it as "partial 16S ribosomal RNA". It matches the Rfam family "Archaeal small subunit ribosomal RNA", at positions 748 to 1009 of the family's 1478-position model. The record is from RNAcentral.
UAGCCGUAAACGAUACUCGCUAGGUGUCGGCCACGGUGCGACCGUUGUCGGUGCCGUAGGGAAGCCGUGAAGCGAGCCACCUGGGAAGUACGGCCGCAAGGCUGAAACUUAAAGGAAUUGGCGGGGGAGCACCACAACGGGUGGAGCUUGCGGUUUAAAUGGAUUCAACGCCGGAAAUCUUACCGGGACCGACAGCAACAUGAAGGCCAGGCUGAAGACUUUGCCGGAUUAGCUGAGAGGUGGUGCAUGGCGUAGUCGUGU